GCACGAUUAGUGUAGUGGUAACACCGGUGCCUUCCAAGCACCUAUCGGCAGUUCAAAUCUGCUAUCGUGCU
Molecule: transfer RNA, 71 nt
Filed under: Methanobrevibacter sp.
Lineage: Archaea; Methanobacteriati; Methanobacteriota; Methanobacteria; Methanobacteriales; Methanobacteriaceae
Description: tRNA-Gly
Rfam family: tRNA
About the family: Transfer RNA (tRNA) molecules are approximately 80 nucleotides in length. Their secondary structure includes four short double-helical elements and three loops (D, anti-codon, and T loops).
Source: RNAcentral